This 438-nucleotide ribosomal RNA is filed under the name uncultured cyanobacterium. Its description in RNAcentral is "bacterial SSU rRNA". It matches the Rfam family "Bacterial small subunit ribosomal RNA", at positions 8 to 492 of the family's 1533-position model. Lineage: Bacteria; Bacillati; Cyanobacteriota. The record is from RNAcentral.
AGAGUUUGAUCAUGGCUCAGGAUGAACGCUGGCGGUAUGCUUAACACAUGCAAGUCGAACGGAAUACUUCGGUAUUUAGUGGCGGACGGGUGAGUAACGCGUAAGAAUCUGGCUCCAGGUUCGGGACAACAGAUGGAAACGUCUGCUAAUACCGGAUGUGCCGAGAGGUGAAAGCUUUAGUGCCUGGAGAUGAGCUUGCGUCUGAUUAGCUAGUUGGAGUGGUAACGGCACACCAAGGCGACAAUCAGUAACUGGUCUGAGAGGAUGACCAGUCACACUGGGACUGAGACACGGCCCAGACUCCUACGGGAGGCAGCAGUGGGGAAUUUUCCGCAAUGGGCGAAAGCCUGACGGAGCAAUACCGCGUGAGGGACGAAGGUCUGUGGAUUGUAAACCUCUUUUGUCAGGGACGAUAAUGACGGUACCUGACGAAUAGCU